GACAGAGGGUGCAAACGUUGUUCGGAAUUACUGGGCGUAAAGCGCGUGUAGGCUGUCUCGCAAGUCGGGUGUGAAAGCCCUGGGCUCAACCUAGGAAGUGCACUCGAAACUGCGAGACUUGAGUCCUGGAGAGGAAGGCGGAAUUCUCGGUGUAGAGGUGAAAUUCGUAGAUAUCAGGAGGAACACCGGCGGCGAAGGCGGGUCUCUGGGCCAUAACUGACGCUGAGGAGCGAAAGCGUGGGGAGCGAACAGG
This 253-nucleotide ribosomal RNA is filed under the name uncultured bacterium. RNAcentral describes it as "partial 16S ribosomal RNA". It matches the Rfam family "Bacterial small subunit ribosomal RNA", at positions 524 to 776 of the family's 1533-position model. The record is from RNAcentral.